Papaver somniferum (opium poppy) is the source of this 1461-nucleotide long non-coding RNA. RefSeq lists it as uncharacterized. The transcript has 5 exons. Lineage: Eukaryota; Viridiplantae; Streptophyta; Magnoliopsida; Ranunculales; Papaveraceae. The record is from RefSeq and is a predicted model, not a curated record.
UAUUGAAUAGAGUUUAUUCUCUUCUUCUCUUUCUUCUGUUCUUCAUCUCUUUCUCCCUGUCGAAUUCAAUUCCAAAGUUCUAGAUGAAUCGAGCUUUUUUUGUGUGAGUGAUUCAUGUAAAUAUUGAGAUCUAGAUAAAUCUAAGAAGAGGCUGAUGAAUCUGGAAGCUAAUUUAGAAUAAAUAGAAAUUAGGGUUUCCUCCUGCCAUACUUUUUUUCUUCUUCUGCAACAAACUCCUACCAUACUUUUCUUCUCCGACAAACCAUGGUUUUUCCUCAUCAAUCAGUUGAGUUGUUGUCGUCAAUUUGAAAAAUGGGUCUCGAGAUUUCAUAGAAAAAAAGGGUUUUGUGAGAUUCGAUUAGGAUUGAUUCUCUGUGGGAUUUGUUCUCAACAACAAAAGGUGGACGAUAAACCCUCAUCUUUUGCGAACCUAAUUUUCUCCAGCGAUCUCCACUACCUCAUUUCUUCUCCUAAUCAGAUGCCUACAAACAUGGAAAGAAGGAGCUGAAGUUGAGUUUUGAUGUUGAAAUCUUGGCCUUUAUCGAGGAAACUGGAAAUCUCGCGUAAGCCAUUAGAGCAGGUACAACUGAUUGAGCCUGUAGAUGGCAGGUAACUUCCUUAGGUCCAUCUCACCUUUUUGUAUUGAAUUUGUGAAUUUGAUUUUCUGGGUAGUAUGGAGGUGCUUUAUCAGGUGGAUGAGUUACGAGUAGAUUGGUUAUCUACCGGAGGCAAAAUUGUGCAUCGCGAAGCCAACCAACACAAGGAAUAUCUGUUGCUACAUACAUGAAGUUGUGGAGAUGCUGCGACGUGCAAAUCAAUCUAUGAAUAUUAAUGUUGUUCUAGCAUACCCGUUGUUGAUGUUGCGCGAAUGGAGCUGAUGCAACCUACUGAUGUGACGUGCCCGUUGCUUCUGCAUACAUGUUGUUGUUGCUACGUACUGCUCCCACUGCUUUGUACCUGCAUACCUGCUGAUGUAGCUGCUCCGUACGUGCUGUUGUUGCUGCUGGGCGCAUAAAGCUGCAUGCGUACCUGAUGUGCUGCGAACAAGGUGCUACUGCCCCAGUACCUUCCUGCAGUGUAACUGUCAGUUUUCCUUCGAACAAGGUGCUCCUGCUGCGAAACUGUUGUUGGUGCGAACAAGCUUAUGUACCUGCUGCCGAGCAAACAAGGCAUUGUUGUUGCUGCUGUUCCGCGUACCACUGAUGCUACCUUUUGAUGUGGUGUUCCUGAUGGAAAUUAGGGUUCCAUUUAUUAUUCUUCUUGACCACCCAAAAUAUUUCACCCUUUCUCUUUGCUCUUUUGAUUUAUUUGUUUUCUUCGUUGUAUGAUUACGUUAACAAUAUGGGUUCUGUGCACAAAAGCCUCAAUUUCUUAACAAUACAAUUCGUAUUGCGAGAAUCUUAUUGUAUUGAAUUAUCUAUUCAUUUCUUAGUGGACGACUUCUCAUCUGGUCAAGGAGAA